RNAcentral lists this ribosomal RNA (497 nucleotides) under uncultured bacterium. Its description in RNAcentral is "partial 16S ribosomal RNA". It matches the Rfam family "Bacterial small subunit ribosomal RNA", at positions 28 to 507 of the family's 1533-position model. The record is from RNAcentral.
GAUGAACGCUGGCGGCGUGCCUAAUACAUGCAAGUCGAGCGAACAGACGAGGAGCUUGCUCCUCUGACGUUAGCGGCGGACGGGUGAGUAACACGUGGAUAACCUACCUAUAAGACUGGGAUAACUUCGGGAAACCGGAGCUAAUACCGGAUAAUAUAUUGAACCGCAUGGUUCAAUAGUGAAAGACGGUUUUGCUGUCACUUAUAGAUGGAUCCGCGCCGCAUUAGCUAGUUGGUAAGGUAACGGCUUACCAAGGCAACGAUGCGUAGCCGACCUGAGAGGGUGAUCGGCCACACUGGAACUGAGACACGGUCCAGACUCCUACGGGAGGCAGCAGUAGGGAAUCUUCCGCAAUAGGCGAAAGCCUGACGGAGCAACGCCGCGUGAGUGAUGAAGGUCUUCGGAUCGUAAAACUCUGUUAUUAGGGAAGAACAAACGUGUAAGUAACUAUGCACGUCUUGACGGUACCUAAUCAGAAAGCCACGGCUAACUACGUG